Oncorhynchus tshawytscha (Chinook salmon) is the source of this 449-nucleotide long non-coding RNA. The record is from Ensembl. NCBI's taxonomy places the organism in Eukaryota, Metazoa, Chordata, Actinopteri, Salmoniformes, Salmonidae.
GUGAGUUGUGUGAGUGUAGUGAAUGUGGAUGUGAGGUGUGUGAGUGUAGUGGAUGUGGAUGUGAGUGUAGUGAAUGUGGAUGUGAGUUGUGUGAGUCUAGUGAAUGUGGAUGUGAGUUGUGUGAGUCUAGUGAAUGUGGAUGUGAGGUGUGUGAGUCUAGUGAAUGUGGAUGUGAGGUGUGUGGGUCUAGUGAAUGUGGAUGUGAGUCUAGUGAAUGUGGAUGUGAGGUGUGUGGGUCUAGUGAAUGUGGAUGUGAGGUGUGUGGGUCUAGUGAAUGUGGAUGUGAGGUGUGUGAGUCUAGUGAAUGUGGAUGUGAGUUGUUUGAGUCUAGUGAAUGUGGAUGUGAGGUGUGUGAGUCUAGUGAAUGUGGAUGUGAGGUGUGUGAGUCUAGUGAAUGUGGAUGUGAGGUGUGUGAGUGUAGUGAAUGUGGAUGUGAAAGGUGUGUGAGU